Molecule: ribosomal RNA, 774 nt
Filed under: uncultured Neocallimastigales
Lineage: Eukaryota; Fungi; Neocallimastigomycota; Neocallimastigomycetes; Neocallimastigales
Description: partial large subunit ribosomal RNA
Rfam family: Eukaryotic large subunit ribosomal RNA
Source: RNAcentral
CGCAUCUGUGCAUGCAGCAUAUCAAUAAGCGGAGGAAAAGAAACUAACAAGGAUUCCCUUAGUAACGGCGAGUGAAGCGGGAAGAGCUCAAAUUUGAAAUCUUCAAGGUUUUACCUUGACGAAUUGUAGUUUAAAGAAGUGUUUUCUGUUGAAGUUUUGGUAAAAGUUCUUUGGAAUAGGACAUCAUAGAGGGUGAGAAUCCCGUAUUUGACCAUUAUUUUCAGCUGUGUGAUACACUUUCAAAGAGUCGGAUUGUUUGGGAAUGCAGUCCAAAAUGGGUGGUAAAUUUCAUCUAAAGCUAAAUAUUGGCGAGAGACCGAUAGCGAACAAGUACCGUGAGGGAAAGAUGAAAAGAACUUUGGAAAGAGAGUUAAACAGUACGUGAAAUUGUCAAAAGGGAAGCGUUUGACACCAGUGUUGUUUUCUCGAAAAUCAAUUAAAAAGAGUUUGAUUUUGUUGUGUAUUGACCUUAACAGCUUGCAUUUCAAUUUUCUUGCUUUUUUUAAUGCACUUUUCGUUUAACAAGUCAACAUCAGUUUCUUUUGUUGUAAAAAGGUCAUUGGAAGGUGGCUUUCUUUUCGGAGAAAGUGUUUAUAGCCUUUGACUCCUGCAAUCGGAGAGACUGAGGUCUGCAGCGUAGAUCCUUCGGGGUUAGAUACAUUUGUGCUAAGUUAUAGCUUUUUAUAGACAACUUGUUGACUAUGAUUAGUCUUGUAGCUUACUCGCUUAUGCUAUAUUACCUACGCUUAGGAUGUUGAACUCUAUCACACACAG